GGCUCAGUGGUAGAGCGCAUGCUUCGCAAGCACAAGGUCCUGGGUUCGAUCCCCAG
This 56-nucleotide transfer RNA is filed under the name Camelus bactrianus (Bactrian camel). It matches the Rfam family "tRNA", at positions 9 to 63 of the family's 71-position model. Rfam says of the family: Transfer RNA (tRNA) molecules are approximately 80 nucleotides in length. Their secondary structure includes four short double-helical elements and three loops (D, anti-codon, and T loops). Further hydrogen bonds mediate the characteristic L-shaped molecular structure. tRNAs have two regions of fundamental functional importance: the anti-codon, which is responsible for specific mRNA codon recognition, and the 3' end, to which the tRNAs corresponding amino acid is attached (by aminoacyl-tRNA synthetases). tRNAs cope with the degeneracy of the genetic code in two manners: having more than one tRNA (with a specific anti-codon) for a particular amino acid; and 'wobble' base-pairing, i.e. permitting non-standard base-pairing at the 3rd anti-codon position. Lineage: Eukaryota; Metazoa; Chordata; Mammalia; Artiodactyla; Camelidae. The record is from Rfam by way of RNAcentral. RNAcentral also lists the same sequence under 1 other name.